This 525-nucleotide ribosomal RNA is filed under the name Sticta carolinensis. RNAcentral describes it as "eukaryotic LSU rRNA". It matches the Rfam family "Eukaryotic large subunit ribosomal RNA", at positions 83 to 609 of the family's 3401-position model. Lineage: Eukaryota; Fungi; Ascomycota; Lecanoromycetes; Peltigerales; Lobariaceae. The record is from RNAcentral.
GUAACGGCGAGUGAAGCGGCAACAGCUCAAAUUUGAAAUCUGGCCUCUUCGGGGUCCGAGUUGUAAUUUGUAGAGGGUGUUUCGGGCGCGAUGCCGGUCUAAGUUCCUUGGAACAGGACGUCGCAGAGGGUGAGAAUCCCGUACGCGACCGGCGAUCAAGCCUGUGUGAAGCCCCUUCGACGAGUCGAGUUGUUUGGGAAUGCAGCUCAAAAUGGGUGGUAAAUUUCAUCUAAAGCUAAAUAUUGGCCAGAGACCGAUAGCGGACAAGUAGAGUGAUCGAAAGAUGAAAAGCACUUUGGAAAGAGAGUCAAACAGUACGUGAAAUUGUUGAAAGGGAAGCGCUUGCAAUCAGACCGGUCCGGAGGCGAUCAGCCGCUGCUCGUUCAGCGGUGCACUCGCCUGCGAUCCGGCCAGCAUCGGUUUGGGCGGUGGGAUAAAAGUUCCGGGAAUGUAGCUUCUCUCGGGGAGUCUUAUAGCCCGGGUCGCAAUGCCGCCCGCCCGGACCGAGGACCGCGCUUCGGCUAG